CCCUGGGAAUUCCGGGAAUCCCCUGAGAAUCCUUCAGCACACUUGGGAAUUCUGGGAAUCCCUCGGGAAUUCCGGGAAUCCCUCAGCACCCCUGGGAAUCCCAGGAAUUUUCCGGGAAUCCCCCGGGAAUCCCUCAGCAUUCCCAGGAAUCCCAGGAAUUUUCCGGGAAUCCCCCGGGAAUCCCUCAGCACCCCCGGGAAUCCCAGGAAUU
RNAcentral lists this long non-coding RNA (211 nucleotides) under Cyanistes caeruleus (blue tit). Its description in RNAcentral is "lncRNA (ENSCCEG00000007171.1)". Lineage: Eukaryota; Metazoa; Chordata; Aves; Passeriformes; Paridae. The record is from RNAcentral.